Molecule: ribosomal RNA, 253 nt
Filed under: uncultured bacterium
Lineage: Bacteria
Description: partial 16S ribosomal RNA
Rfam family: Bacterial small subunit ribosomal RNA
Source: RNAcentral
UACGUAGGGUGCGAGCGUUAAUCGGAAUUACUGGGCGUAAAGAGUACGCAGGCGGCUUUGCAAGUCAGGUGUGAAAUCCCCGGGCCUAACCUGGGAACUGCAUUUGUGACUGCAUGGCUAGAGUUUGUCAGAGGGGGGUGGAAUUCCACGUGUAGCAGUGAAAUGCGUAGAUAUGUGGAGGAACACCGAUGGCGAAGGCAGCCCCCUGGGAUGUGACUGACGCUCAUGUACGAAAGCGUGGGGAGCAAACAGG